CUGAUGAUAUCACUUUGUUAACAAACACAUUGUUUGUAUUAAUCACUGGUUCAAAUGUUUGGGUUGCUCUGUUUGUAUUCAACUCCAGUUUAUUUGUUUCAUUAUAAAUUGGCAUUUUUAUAGAUCCAUAAGAUGGUCUUAUUUAUAUAUUUUAAAAUAUUAUCAAAGACACAGUAAACAGUAUUUUUUGAUGAUGUGUUGAUGCAUUAACUUCCAUACUACUCUUAUCGGUACCAUUAUUCAAAUGAGGACAACACAAAUUCAAAUAAAUCUACUUGUUCAGCAGUUGCAUAUUAUCAUAAACAGCAAAGUUUAGGGGUUAACUGCAGGCGAUUUAGUUGAAACACCAAUAAUGAAAUGAAAUAGUCGAUUGAUCAAACAACUAGUGGUGAUGAAGAUGCUAAAGGAGAUGAGUUGUGAGUCAGGAAACUUGAAGAAUCGUGAGGCAAACCUGAUUUAUAUCAUGAAAAGGUUUUGUCAAAAACAAUUUCUAUGUAAAAUAUGAACAAUUUCAACCGCCAGAUUAGACGAUUUCAGAUGGCCCGAAAGCAAAAGCUAAAAACGAUUAAGAUACAUAUAAAAGCCAGAAAUUUUAGAGAAUCUGCCCUUUAAAUGUUUAACAUGAGACCAUUUCGGUUUUGCCUCAAACAAAACGGCCAUCAGGAUAAACUCUUUACCAUUUAAACCGCUUAUCAUCCAUAGAUUUGGGUAUAAAAGUCAAUUCUUUGUCUUACCUAGACAUAUUCAAAGUAUCAUCAUGGAUAUUAAAUCGAUUCUCGUUUAUAUUUUCUUCAUGGUCCAUUUCUCAAAUGCCAAUAUUCUCACAGAUUGGUACUCUAGUUUAAAUAAAAAUAUCAAUAAAGCAGCUAAUUAUGGUGAAGAAAUGCUAAAGUCAAAAGGUGAAUUGUACAUACAACCAGCUAAGCCGACACCUAAAUCUGUCUACAAGCCUGUUGAACCCUUGGUUGAAAAGAAAGAAAAAGAACUUCAAGAAAUUUGUAAUUUAACCUUAAAAAAGUCUGAUAUUGUGAUACUUACAAUGGUCAUGAAAGAAAAGAGGAAAGCUUUCGAGCCAAUUUUCAUUGAUCCCAAAACAUUGGAAUUGAGCUUUAGAGUUGAAAAAGGCAAAAAGGUUUCAUCUUUAAUAGGUGCUCUCAGCACGAUUAAAGUCCACAAGAAAUUUGGCCUCGAAAAAAUUCCCAUCAACUUACAAGUGCCACACAAAAUAUUGUCCAAAUUACCAAAGUUGAGUAAUGAUGACUAUGUAAUAUUAACAAUCAUCAGACAAAACAAAGGAAAACCAGCAAAAGUCGUUUCUCACUUUGUGGAUACAAUAAGUGUUGCUCCAACACAUGAUAAAUCAUAUUAACAAAAGUAUCAAAUGAAAUAUAUUGAAUUGUAAAUUUUGUUAGACUUUAAAUCGGUCUAAUUAUUGUAAGCCUUUCUACUGUGCCAAUGAAUAAUAAAUAUAAAAUGUAAAUUAACAAAAAUUUGAAAUUUCUUUAUUAUCAAUAUCAUAUUGGAUGAGCGUAAGAAAAUUUUAGAUACUACAGAUUUUUCUUUUAGUUAGUUUUUUUAGUUUUUGGUUUUUGGUUUACAAUAGCAAGCAUCACUUACUCCUGGUCCACCACAAAUUACACAUCUUCCUUGAUACGAACCAUAAUAACAUUCAUCACAUAUUCUGACAACGUUGAAGGGCGAACAUAACUGUCACAAAUGAAUUUAGUCAAUAUCCAGUGCUGCCAUCUAAUGAUCUAUAUUUCAUAAUGAAAUAUAUUUAUUUCCAAUGAAUCAUUAGUAAUGAUGAACCUAGAAUGUUAGUUGUAGGUGUAUUACCAUUCGCGAAAUAUCGAUGUUCCAAGUUUUUAGGUUAACUCUGCUGGUCACAGAAUGCGAAAUAUUUAAUUGAAAAUCGAACUUGUUAUCCAAAAACAAAAAGUUUUAUUUAUCAAAAGGAAUUAUUAUUUCUGGCGGUCCUGGCUCCGUUUAUUCCAACGAUUCACUACCCUAUGA
Non-coding RNA from Tetranychus urticae (two-spotted spider mite), 2013 nucleotides. NCBI's taxonomy places the organism in Eukaryota, Metazoa, Arthropoda, Arachnida, Trombidiformes, Tetranychidae. The record is from RefSeq and is a predicted model, not a curated record.